RNAcentral lists this ribosomal RNA (271 nucleotides) under uncultured archaeon. RNAcentral describes it as "partial 16S ribosomal RNA". It matches the Rfam family "Archaeal small subunit ribosomal RNA", at positions 477 to 747 of the family's 1478-position model. The record is from RNAcentral.
CGGAGCCACAAGUGGGGGCCGCUAUUAUUGGGCCUAAAGCGUCCGUAGCCGGUCUGGCGAAUCUCUUGUGAAAUUGUCGGGCUCAACCCGACAGCGUGCAGGAGACACUACCAGACUAGGGACCGGGAGGAGUCAGAAGUAUUUCUGGGGGAGCGGUAAAAUGUUAUAAUCCCAGAAGGACUACCUAUGGCGAAGGCAUCUGACCAGAACGGAUCCGACGGUGAGGGACGAAAGCCAGGGGAGUAAACCGGAUUAGAUACCCGAGUAGUCC